UGGUAACACGAACCGGUGCUAAAGGGUCAUUGCCCCGACAGCAUCUGUCAGUAGCCGUGGGGCAGGACCCUUUAGCACCGGUUCGUGUUACAAA
Molecule: microRNA precursor, 94 nt
Organism: Sorghum bicolor (sorghum)
Lineage: Eukaryota; Viridiplantae; Streptophyta; Magnoliopsida; Poales; Poaceae
Rfam family: MIR5387 microRNA precursor family
Source: Rfam